Molecule: long non-coding RNA, 416 nt
Filed under: Ananas comosus (pineapple)
Lineage: Eukaryota; Viridiplantae; Streptophyta; Magnoliopsida; Poales; Bromeliaceae
Description: long non-coding RNA (ACOM_LNC027357)
Source: RNAcentral
AGGAAUGGACUAGAGAAGUAAAAAGUGUGGUCGUAGGAAAAAUGAUAAUACUUAUGAUAAUAAUAAUAAUAAUAAUAAUAGUUUAAAGAUAUUGAUCUUGUUUUAUAUAGUGUAAAAAAUUUUCUAUCAAAAUUUUACGUGAUUUGAAUAUUUCGACACCGUUAAACUUACAAAUGGUUCACUACGGUCAUUAAAAUUAUUAAUUUUUAGCCCCUUCGAUCACUAGGCAAAUGAUAUCGAAAAAUUAUAAAAUUUAUUUUUUAGGUAUUUCAAAUACUCUAGAUCAAGUUUAACGGAGCCGAUCGACGAUUCGAAAGUCGCAAUAUUGAAAAUGAACUGAAAGCACGGAAGACUCCGUCCUUCCAGAAGCAUAGUAGCCUCACACAUUUUUGAGACAAGGUUACAAAAAAUAUAUA